AAAUAGCAUUAUUUUCACUGUUUUUUUUUCCAAGCCAUUUAGUCUUAGGAUUCUGUGGUAGCUUCACCUCCUUUUUCACAGGUGAUUAUAGUCACUUUUUGCCCAAUCUGCUGUUGUCUUUCCCAAAAUAAUUUAAAAGUAGCAGAGAGAUUAGGAUGCACCGCCAUACAUUAACAUGUUUGUUUAUCAGGGAUAUUGUCCACGUGCCACAACCGUUUGCUAACAUGUAUGCACUGUUAUCUUUUCAUAGGAAUAAGUGUAAUUUGCCUAUUUGCUUAUUCAUUAAUGACAGCAGUAAAUUUUUACAUGUUAGUAAAACUUUCUUUUAAUACCUAGUUGAGUGAUCCUAUGAUUUAAAUCUAUUCUGUUUGAUCAAAAAAUCAAUGAUUUGGUCUAGUUAUGGUUUUUAUUCAUAAGAUUCUAAUGCAAAAUAAUGUUAUUUUGAUCCUUAGUAAAUUGUUAUUUUAAUUAUUAAGGUAAUUAUUCUUGUAUAAGAAUAAGAUGCUUGUAGAAUUGAGGGUAUCAUUCUUCUAAACAGUACUGUCAUGAUUUGGGAAAUAUUUCAUCUUAAACUACAAAAGACUUAUAAUCACAAAUUGCCCCUCAUAUUUAUCAUUUUUAAUAAAAUCUUUAAGAAUAGCAUUCCCUAGCAAUAAAGAAAAAUAAUAACCAUUAUCUUUCUAAGGUGAAAAGAACAGGUGGGUAUUCUGGCACACUUAAAUACAGUGACAAGCCCUCUAUUGAGAACGAAUAAAUGAACAGUUGUAAGUUUUGAAUUUACUCUGUGAAUUGUGUGUGAAAGGGAGGGGUUGGACUGUUUACAUGUUUUACAAGUGAAUUUUGAGAAACUCGGGCUUAAUUUAAAGACACAAAGCAGUACAGAUAAAAUUCCCAAUGAUGUACAAAUGUGCAGGAGAGUCAUGUUUUAAAGAGUAAGUUCUCUUAGGUUUCCUUAAGGUAUGUUCUUCCGGUGCAAGCAUGAUGGUUUAUAGAAGUUUCUGUAGGCAAAACUUCAAGAACACAUCUGUAACAUUAAAGCAAGUAAUAACUAGUUCAUACUUUCUAAGAAUAAAGGUUCAAGAUGUUUUUUCCCCUUAAUAUGUCUGAAAUUGUGUAUUUUUGGAUUUUCCUAAGCUGCUAAUAUAAUUUUAUUUGAAGUAAAUGUCUCAUAUACUUCUUUCCCAGACCAAACAGGGAGAGUCCUUAAGAGUGUUGUAUGAUUAUUAGACUUUGUGUGCCUAAGUGAUAGUAUAUUUUUUUUGGCCUAUGCCUUUUUAAACUGUUUCAUAUUGAAAGUUGAAAUAUUGUAAAAAAUUUUGUUAAAGAUGUACUGUAGUGCUAUUUGAAGUACCUGUAACAAAAUACUUAUUUACCUUUACUAUCACUGCAAGCUUCUUGUGGAAACUAUAUAGGAGUGAAAAUAAACUCUAUACAUCCAUGAAAAGAUUAAACAUUUGAUAUUAAAUGAUGAGUUGCUGCAUGCCAGAGUGAUUAGUGUUAUUGAAUCAAUUACUUUGGUUUUCUGAAAAAUAAACUUUAUAAAUAUCUUUAAAGAGAAUUAGAGGAAUUUUUCCUUUGGAUGAUUCCAGGCUGUAGCAUGAUUAUUUACAGAAGUCAUUUGAUUGGCUUAGUUAGUGGGAUUGUUUCUUGUUUUGUACUGCAAUAGGUUCUACAAUAUUAGGACAAAAUGUGUAUGUGUUGAAGAAAAGUAGGUGGUGGUUAAGAAUCUUGAAAAAUUCAAAUUUCAGAAUAUUUUAAAAAUAAAGUUUCAAAUUACA
Molecule: long non-coding RNA, 1778 nt
Organism: Myotis davidii
Lineage: Eukaryota; Metazoa; Chordata; Mammalia; Chiroptera; Vespertilionidae
Exons: 2
Source: RefSeq, a predicted model, not a curated record